This is a long non-coding RNA of Mesocricetus auratus (golden hamster), 195 nucleotides long. RefSeq lists it as uncharacterized. NCBI's taxonomy places the organism in Eukaryota, Metazoa, Chordata, Mammalia, Rodentia, Cricetidae. The record is from RefSeq and is a predicted model, not a curated record. The transcript is spliced from 2 exons.
AGAGGUGGGAGAGGAAGGCACACAAACCUAGUCACGGAAGAGCAGAGCUGCACUAAGCUACUGCCUCGGAAAGUGACCUGUAGGCUGAUACUUGAAGGGCCACUAAGAGGAAUGAGGCCAUCCACUCUGCGUUGAGGAUCCUUUGCAACAAUGUGCAGGAAGUCCUUGGUAUUAAUGCACAGUGCUCCAUGACAA